AGUGGUAGUUGAACGAGUGUCUUCGUCGUCCUUGCUUGCCAUUUCAGCU
This 49-nucleotide small RNA is filed under the name Arabidopsis thaliana (thale cress). Its description in RNAcentral is "ATSL120250". The record is from RNAcentral. Lineage: Eukaryota; Viridiplantae; Streptophyta; Magnoliopsida; Brassicales; Brassicaceae.